RNAcentral lists this ribosomal RNA (430 nucleotides) under uncultured bacterium. RNAcentral describes it as "bacterial SSU rRNA". It matches the Rfam family "Bacterial small subunit ribosomal RNA", at positions 349 to 793 of the family's 1533-position model. The record is from RNAcentral.
CAGCAGUGGGGAAUAUUGCACAAUGGGCGCAAGCCUGAUGCAGCAACGCCGUGUGAGUGAAGAAGGUUUUCGGAUCGUAAAACUCUGUCCUAAGGGAAGAAACAAAUGACGGUACCUUAGGAGGAAGCCCCGGCUAACUACGUGCCAGCAGCCGCGGUAAUACGUAGGGGGCAAGCGUUAUCCGGAAUCACUGGGCGUAAAGGGUGCGUAGGCGGCUUAGCAAGCCAGGGGUGAAAGGCAUUGGCUCAACCAAUGUAAGCCUUUGGAACUGUUAAGCUUGAGUGCAGGAGAGGUAAGUGGAAUUCCUAGUGUAGAGGUGAAAAUUCGUAGAUAUUAGGAGGAACACCAGUGGCGAAGGCGACUUACUGGACUGUAACUGACGCUGAUGCACGAAAGCGUGGGUAGCGAACAGGAUUAGAUACCCUGGGAG